AGCAGCCGCGGUAAAUUCCAGCUCCAAUAGCGUAUAUUAAAGUUGUUGCAGUUAAAAAGCUCGUAGUUGAAUUUCGGGAUCAAGGUGCCGGUCAUGCCUUUGGUAUGUACUGACAUCAUUGAUUUCUCCCUUCUGAUGAACUGUGAUGUCAUUAAUUUGGUGUCAUGGAGAAUCAGGACUGUUACUUUGAAAAAUUAGAGUGUUUAAAGCAAGCACACGCUUGAAUACAUUAGCAUGGAAUAAUGAAAUAGGACGUUUGAUCCUAUUUUGUUGGUUUCUAGGAUUGACGUAAUGAUUAAUAGGGAUAGUUGGGGGCAUUAGUAUUCAAUUGUCAGAGGUGAAAUUCUUGGAUUUAUUGAAGACUAACUACUGCGAAAGCAUUUGCCAAGGAUGUUUUCAU
This 400-nucleotide ribosomal RNA is filed under the name uncultured Glomeromycotina. Its description in RNAcentral is "SSU rRNA". It matches the Rfam family "Eukaryotic small subunit ribosomal RNA", at positions 569 to 973 of the family's 1831-position model. Lineage: Eukaryota; Fungi; Glomeromycota. The record is from RNAcentral.